CUAGAUUCAUCAGUGGUGUUAGAUGGGUGAGGAGGGACAGGUUUUCCUUUUGUUACUUGUUUGUUUUUUCCUGUCACGAACUGGAUGAAGAAUCAGCCUACUGAGGGUCUCCACGGAGGUUAAGCAGCAGCCAGUAUUGAGCUAGUAUCCGCUAUCCUUUGGAUCUCCGAUGUCCUUAGAGGCCCAUUGGUAUUUGUCACAGUGAUGAAAAGCUAACACAGAUCCCUCCCCCACUCUUUAAAGAGAAGCACACAAAAUGUUACCUUUGAUUUUGAACUUGGAGAAAAUGUCAGAUAAAUAGGUACAUUGAAAAUAGUCAAGCAGAAGAGUAGUCACUAUUUUACUUGAAUGUGAAGAAUCAUUCAGCUAAUGAACUGCGGUUUACCAAAAGCAAUUUUUCUAAGUAUAAUUUGGGCUUCAUAAAGAGGUUUAGUGAUCGCUACAAAACCAGGAAUCCAAAUUCUACAGAAGCUGGUCACCCCAAGAAACUCCCUCAGCUGUCUCUUAUCUUGUUCAUCUUCCCUCUUAGCCUGUUCCUUCUCUCUUGCUGACUCUCUAUUCACAUACACUUUCCUAGCCAAUUGUAGCAACUGUGUUAUAUUCAUACCCUCCCAAGUUUCUUGCUUUUGAAUUUGCCUUCUAAUAUCCUGAGCUGACUGGGUCACAAAGUCAUAUUGAUUAACUGGUGGUUAUCAGGAACAGCAGGAUCAAAUGGUGUAUACAUUCUGUAAACUUUACAGAACUACUCAUAAAAUCUCUCAGGGCUCCCAUUGGGCUCCUACGAUGUUUCUAGCACUUUAAUCAUAUUUGUAGGCCUUUUACUCAUGGCUCGUAUCCCUGCCAGGAGGGCCAUCUGAUAAUUGCUUAAGCUGUCCUGGCCUCCUGGGGUGUUGGGGUUCCAAUCGGGCUGUUCAUUCACUGGAAAUUGCUGUUCAUGUCAAGCAUCUGGAUUUUGUGUGCCUGCUGGCAUUCUAGGAGCAUUGAUCUUUUUAAUUUCUCCUAAAACUGUAUUUCUUUAGAAGUUAACAAAGUUCUUUACAGUCCUCCCAAUUAGGACAAUGGGUAGCAAAGAUGGAAUCAAAUAAUUGAAGCAUUUUGGAGGGGUCUUGGCAGAGAAUAAAUGACCUUCUUUUUCUCUAGA
RNAcentral lists this long non-coding RNA (1141 nucleotides) under Heterocephalus glaber (naked mole-rat). Its description in RNAcentral is "lncRNA (ENSHGLG00000025328.2)". Lineage: Eukaryota; Metazoa; Chordata; Mammalia; Rodentia; Bathyergidae. The record is from RNAcentral.